AUUGAACGCUGGCGGCAGGCCUAACACAUGCAAGUCGAGCGAGCGGCGGACGGGUGAGUAAUGUAUGUGGACCUGCUCGUUAGAGGGGGAUAACUACUGGAAACGGUGGCUAAUACCGCAUACUAUCGGAUGAACCCUUAUGUGAUUAGCUAGUGGGUGGGUUAAAGGCUCACCUAGGCGACGAUCUCUAGCUGUUCGGAGAGGAUGAUUGGCCACACGGGAACUGAGACACGGCCCAGACUCCUACGGGAGGCAGCAGUGGGGAAUAUUGCACAAUGGGCGCAAGCCUGAUGCAGCAAUGCCGCGUGUAUGAAGAAGGCCUUGGGGUUGUAAAGUACUUUCAGCGGGGAGGCGUUACCCGCAGAAGAAGCACCGGCUAACUCCGUGCCAGCCGCCGCGGUAAUAC
This 406-nucleotide ribosomal RNA is filed under the name uncultured bacterium. RNAcentral's name for it is "partial 16S ribosomal RNA". It matches the Rfam family "Bacterial small subunit ribosomal RNA", at positions 30 to 526 of the family's 1533-position model. The record is from RNAcentral.